UCCGGGGUCGUCUAAUGGUCGGACGCAUCCCUUUGAAGGAUGAUAUUGGGGUUCGAUUCCCUGCCCCGGAA
Molecule: transfer RNA, 71 nt
Filed under: bacterium
Lineage: Bacteria
Description: tRNA-Gln
Rfam family: tRNA
About the family: Transfer RNA (tRNA) molecules are approximately 80 nucleotides in length. Their secondary structure includes four short double-helical elements and three loops (D, anti-codon, and T loops). Further hydrogen bonds mediate the characteristic L-shaped molecular structure. tRNAs have two regions of fundamental functional importance: the anti-codon, which is responsible for specific mRNA codon recognition, and the 3' end, to which the tRNAs corresponding amino acid is attached (by aminoacyl-tRNA synthetases). tRNAs cope with the degeneracy of the genetic code in two manners: having more than one tRNA (with a specific anti-codon) for a particular amino acid; and 'wobble' base-pairing, i.e. permitting non-standard base-pairing at the 3rd anti-codon position.
Source: RNAcentral